AACGAACGCUGGCGGCAUGCCUAACACAUGCAAGUCGAACGAGACCUUCGGGUCUAGUGGCGCACGGGUGCGUAACGCGUGGGAACCUGCCCUUAGGUUCGGAAUAACUCCCCGAAAGGGGUGCUAAUACCGGAUAAUGUCUUCGGACCAAAGAUUUAUCGCCUUUGGAUGGGCCCGCGUUGGAUUAGCUAGUUGGUAGGGUAAAAGCCUACCAAGGCGACGAUCCAUAGCUGGUCUGAGAGGAUGAUCAGCCACACUGGGACUGAGACACGGCCCAGACUCCUACGGGAGGCAGCGGAAGGGAAUAUUGGACAAUGGGCGAAAGCCUGAUCGAGCAAUGCCGCGUGAGUGAUGAAGGCCUGAGGGUUGUAAAGCUCGUUUACCCGGGAUGAUAAUGGCAGUACCGGGAGAAUAAGCCCCGGCUAACUCCGUG
This 433-nucleotide ribosomal RNA is filed under the name uncultured bacterium. Its description in RNAcentral is "partial 16S ribosomal RNA". It matches the Rfam family "Bacterial small subunit ribosomal RNA", at positions 29 to 507 of the family's 1533-position model. The record is from RNAcentral.